Molecule: unclassified non-coding RNA, 337 nt
Filed under: soil metagenome
Description: partial contains 5.8S ribosomal RNA, internal transcribed spacer 2, and large subunit ribosomal RNA
Rfam family: 5.8S ribosomal RNA (bases 1-120)
Source: RNAcentral
GAUGAAGAACGUAGCGAAAUGCGAUAAGUAGUGUGAAUUGCAGAAUUCAGUGAAUCAUCGAAUCUUUGAACGCACAUUGCGCCCCUUGGUAUUCCAUGGGGCAUGCCUGUUCGAGCGUCAUUUGUACCUUCAAGCCUUGCUUGGUGUUGGGUGUUUGUCUCGCCUCUGCGCGCAGACUCGCCUCAAAACAAUUGGCAGCCGGCGUAUUGAUUUCGGAGCGCAGUACAUCUCGCGCUUUGCACUCAGAACGACGACGUCCAAAAGUUCAUUUUUACACUCUUGACCUCGGAUCAGGUAGGGAUACCCGCUGAACUUAAGCAUAUCAAUAAGCGGAGGA